RNAcentral lists this ribosomal RNA (552 nucleotides) under Triticum aestivum (bread wheat). RNAcentral describes it as "partial small subunit ribosomal RNA". Lineage: Eukaryota; Viridiplantae; Streptophyta; Magnoliopsida; Poales; Poaceae. The record is from RNAcentral.
GAAAAAUUGAGUGGGCCUAGUCUGAAUUUUUCUACUUAUGAUAAAGAAUUAUAUGCUCUUGUUCGGACUUUAGAAACAUGGCAACAUUAUUUAUGGCCCAAAGAAUUUGUUAUACAUUCUGAUCAUGAAUCUUUGAAACAUAUUAAAAGUCAAGCUAAACUGAAUCGUAGACAUGCUAAAUGGGUUGAAUUCAUUGAGACUUUUCCUUAUGUCAUUAAACACAAGAAGGGAAAAGAAAAUGUUAUUGCUGAUGCAUUGUCUCGCCGCUAUACUAUGCUUUCACAACUUGACUUCAAAAUAUUUGGUUUGGAGACCAUCAAAGAUCAAUAUGUGCAUGAUGCUGAUUUUAAAGAUGUAAUGCAGAAUUGUAAAGAAGGAAGAAUGUGGAACAAGUUCGUCGUUAACGGUGGAUUUGUGUUUCGUGCUAACAAGCUAUGCAUUCCAGCUAGCUCCGUUCGUCUUUUGUUGUUGCAGGAGGCGCAUGGAGGAGGAUUAAUGGGACACUUUGGCGUGAAGAAGACGGAGGACGUACUUGCUAAACAUUUCUUUUGG